UAGGGAAUAUUGGUUAAUGUGCGAAAGCGCGAACCAGCAACGCCGCGUGUGCGAUGAAGGCCUUCGGGUCGUAAAGCACUUUUUGCAGGGAAGAGGAAGGGCGGUACCUGCAGAAUAAGUCUCGGCUAACUACGUGCCAGCAGCCGCGGUAAAACGUAGGAGACGAGCGUUAUCCGGAUUUACCGGGCGUAAAGCGCGUGCAGGCGGCAUGGCAAGUUGGAUGUGAAAGCUCCCGGCUUAACUGGGAGAGGUCGUUCAAUACUGCCAGGCUUGAGCGUGGUAGAGGGAAGCGGAAUUCCGGGUGUAGUGGUGAAAUGCGUAGAUAUCCGGAGGAACACCAGUGGCGAAAGCGGCUUCCUGGCCCAUUUCUGACGCUCAGACGCGAAAGCUAGGGUAGCAAACGG
Molecule: ribosomal RNA, 404 nt
Filed under: uncultured bacterium
Lineage: Bacteria
Description: bacterial SSU rRNA
Rfam family: Bacterial small subunit ribosomal RNA
Source: RNAcentral